UUUUCGGUUCGCAAUGGAAAUCCUUUUUUAUAAUUUUCAAAAUAUAAAAAAGAUUGUAAUGGAAAGAGUGAAGAAUU
RNAcentral lists this small RNA (77 nucleotides) under Kaistella jeonii. RNAcentral's name for it is "Chryseobacterium jeonii Flavo-1 RNA". It matches the Rfam family "Flavo-1 RNA". Lineage: Bacteria; Pseudomonadati; Bacteroidota; Flavobacteriia; Flavobacteriales; Weeksellaceae. The record is from RNAcentral.